UGGGGCGUUCACCAGGAAUUCCGCUAGUUCUGAACUAUUUACACUUGAAAAAAGUUCACUACUAGCAGAACUCGGGUGCGCGCCCCCC
RNAcentral lists this microRNA precursor (88 nucleotides) under Chrysemys picta bellii (western painted turtle). Its description in RNAcentral is "miRNA (ENSCPBG00000006877.1)". It matches the Rfam family "mir-726 microRNA precursor family". The record is from RNAcentral. RNAcentral also lists the same sequence under 1 other name. Lineage: Eukaryota; Metazoa; Chordata; Testudines; Emydidae.